UACAGAGGGGGCAAGCGUUGUUCGGAAUUACUGGGCGUAAAGGGCGCGUAGGCGGCCUUCUAAGUCGAACGUGAAAUCCCCGGGCUCAACCCGGGAACUGCGUCCGAUACUGGAAGGCUUGAAUCCGGGAGAGGGAUGCGGAAUUCCAGGUGUAGCGGUGAAAUGCGUAGAUAUCUGGAAGGAACACCGGUGGCGAAGGCGGCAUCCUGGACCGGCAUUGACGCGUGAGGAGCGAAAGCCAGGGGAGCAAAGCGGG
Molecule: ribosomal RNA, 256 nt
Filed under: uncultured bacterium
Lineage: Bacteria
Description: partial 16S ribosomal RNA
Rfam family: Bacterial small subunit ribosomal RNA
Source: RNAcentral